This 3106-nucleotide long non-coding RNA is filed under the name Musa acuminata (dwarf banana). RNAcentral's name for it is "long non-coding RNA (MACU_LNC000893)". Lineage: Eukaryota; Viridiplantae; Streptophyta; Magnoliopsida; Zingiberales; Musaceae. The record is from RNAcentral.
UUCUCUCUUGGAUGUUCUAUUCACUGUUUUCGUCUUCCCGCUGCAAGGGCCUCCGAGAGCGACGUUUUGUCGAGCAGGUGGUCGGCAUGUACGUCAGGAUCACAAAGGAGCCUGAUUACCGAAGGAGUUGGCAGGUGAGUGCAUAAGCUUGAUAACUAGAAGCUAGUGACGUUUGAUGGGAAUACAUGCAUGAUUAAUGCCUGUUUUGAGAUCAAACAAAAAGAAAAUGUGCACAAACCAAAACUUACGCCAAUUGUCUUCCCGUAGUUCUACGAUAAUGGGCUGAUGAAAGAAUCCAUUCACCAAUUUACAGUUCAAAUAAAUUCUACGGAGCAGAUAUUCUACAUUACAUGCUUGAUUUCCUCUGUUACACCAUAAGAGCUGUGAAAUUUCACAUCCGCAGACAGUUUACUAUUAUUUGUGGGUUGUGAACAAGAUGUUCCAGAGAGAGAGAGAGAGAGAGAGAGAGAGAUCAUUUUCCUCAUCCAUGUACUCCAGUUAUAUUUCUGUGGACAUUGAGAAGCUUAUCUCUAGUUUCACUUAGUUCCUUGAUGACAUCUCCCAUCUGCAUUCGCUCUCUUGGAUUUUCCUUUGAACAAGCAAGGCCAACAUUGACAGCUGAAACAAAGCAUUUCUGCACUUCUAACUUGUCCACGUCAAUGUACACAACAUUUUGCUCACCUUGUUGGCCAUUCUCCACCAGAAGAAGACCAGGAUCUAAAACCAUGAGUAGAUCUUCGAUAGGGGUCAUCUCCACAUAUUUAUGAAGGCUAAGGCCAUCCUUGAACAUGUCCUCAGUAGGCCUCUUCCCUGUCAGCAUCUCUAGCAAAAGAAUCCCAUAGCUGUAUAUAUCUCCAUUAGUAGAGACUUUGCCUCCCAUGGCAUAUUCUGCAAUUCAUUUACAAAUGAAAGAGAGGUAUCAAGCUAGCAUUUGAUGAAAAUAUCUGGAGAUUUUGUAGCCAAUGGAGAGGCCUAUCUAUUUCUUCUUGGAAACUGUAGAGAACUUAAAUCUUUUUUUUUUUAUAAAAAUUUGGUUCAUGCUAAAAAUCUCUUAUACUUUCAAAAACUAUGAAGGAACCCUCCUGAUGCCCAAAAUUAAAAGAAUGAAAAAUCAUGUCUCACAAAAGGUGAACUGCAUCAACUAUUACUUAUAUACAUUAGCUAGAAGAAAAAGGCAGUGUUUUUCCAAUGUCCUACUACCACUUCGGUUCACUUUGUUAUCAAACCAUUAUAUUGCCAUUAUCCUAUCUAUUCUGGGAUCUUUUUUAAGUGCAUUUGAAUAAUAGUUAUAGCUUAUGAAACACAACAAAUAUCUCUAAUGUUCAACAAUCCUAGAUCAUAGAUUCACUGACAAUGUAAAAUAGUGACAUUUGCAAAGUAUUCAAGCACUUAAAAUCCUGAGACAAAAAUCAUAUGUUCAAGAGGGGUGGAAGACAAUUCUCCUCAAAUUUGAAGUUUCACUCUUAUUUUUUGUUAUCUAGUUAUCUCAAAUUAUGGACAUUUGGGUGUUAGCUAGCUUUUUUUUCCUCCUCAUUCUCUCUAUCAUCAAGCACAUAUAUCCCCAGUGGAUUCUAUGUAGUUCUGUAACACACUAAUUUUUUAGGUUUUACCUGUUCAAACAACAAAAAGUGUCUCAUGUUGUUUUACAAAAGCUAGAUGUUAAUUUUUAUCUUUUAGUAAUUACUUGUUGCUUUUAUAUUUAAUUUUAUUCAUUUGUUAUGCUUUCUCAUGCAAGCAAUGAAGCAUGCUUUGGUCAUUAUGGUAUAGGGAGUUACCCUAAAAUUUAUCUAACUUGAUUAGGAUCCACAUGGUAAAUUGGUUACAGGUAAACAAAUCAAGAAUGGCUAAAGCUAUUAUUCCUAUGAAUACACUUUCUAUCCAUGCUUAUAUUUAUGGAGAUGGAACUCAAAACUUGAAAAAGUAAAAUUUUAGACAAGCUAAUACUUCAGAACAUUAGUUUAUCUUCUGGUGAUCAAUGUUAAGAUAUUUUGCCAUUGUGAAUUCUGUUCUCUUCUAGUAAACCACCAGUUUCUGCUAGGUAUUAGAGUAGUGCCAUCAGUUUGAUCAUGAAAGCAACCUUACUGAGACAAUUAAAAGCAGAAACAUACCAAGGAAUUGUUCAAACAUUAACAUGGAUGGCAUAAACAUUUACAUUUUAUUUUUUUGGGCAAAAUAUCCCCUAAAAAAUAAUAAAUCAUACUUCAAACUAUGUUCCAUAAACGUAAAACCAGAAAUGGAAAUAGAAAUGAUAUCAUAUAAAUCAUAUUUGCAUAUUCAAACAAGAAAUAGAGCAAAAUUUUAAAUUUAUACCUGGAGCAACAUAUCCAAUGGUUCCUUUUAUUCCUGUGGAUGUUGUACGGUUUUGGUCUGUGUCUGGCAUUGUUCCUUGUAAAAACCUUGCUAAUCCGAAGUCGCCCACAUGUGCACACAUUUCUUGGUCCAGAAGAACAUUGCUAGGCUUUAAAUCACAAUGAACAAUUGGCAUAGGUCCGUGAUGGUGAAGGUAAUCUAACGCAGAAGAGACAUCUAUUGCUAUGCUCAACCUCUGAGGAAGGGUCAAUUUCCUCCUUGUCGAUGCCUCAGAUUCUUUGGGAUGUAGCCAGUUCUCGAGACUCCCAUUUGACAUGUAGUUGAGCACCAAAGCCUUAAAAUCAUUUCCUCUAUUAUCUACACUUAAGCAUAUAGUUAGAAUCUUGACAAGAUUGCGAUGCCGGAUGCUUCUCAAGGCUUCACAUUCAGAGAUGAAGCUCUGUGAUGCUCCAUGCCUUUCCAGAUUUAGCACCUUAACUGCAACAGUAGUUCCAUCAGCGUCCAUAACUCCUUUGUAAACAGAACCAAAACUUCCCAUACCAAUCAGAUUAGAAGCUGAGAAUUCAUCAGUUGCCCUUAGCAGCUCAUUGUAAGAGAUUCUUUUGAAUUGCUCCUCGAUAGAAUUUGUAAAUGAAUUUUUCUUUUUCAGGUUCUUCGUUCUGUGCAGAACAGCAAGGGCGAUAAGUAGGAUUACCGCACACAGACCGACAGAGAUGACUGGGAUGACAACCUCGAGCGCGAGAGAUUUAUGCUUCCUACCAGAUUGGAUAUGGCACGGGGGCAGGUGCAGUCCUUG